UUAAAUUUUACCUCAAAUUAAAAUAUAUUUUUCAUGCUUAUGAAUAUCAAAAUAUUUCAAAUUCGUUCCACUAAUAAAUUUUUUUUGCUAUCUUAAAAUUAAAAUCCAUUACUUUUUAAUCCAGAUAAAUUCAACAUGUCACUUGUUUAUUGGUUCAAACAUGGGUCAUGAGAGGAGUAAUUUCUCAGAGGUAAAAAUCGCCAUAAAUACAGAAAAAAAAAUCCACAAAUUUAUAAAUCCCUCUACCCUAACCUUUUUAAUCUUCAAACCCUCUAAAUCAUAGAUUCAUAGCAACUCAUCCCCCAAAACGAACCUUAACCUCAAACCCAGUACCGUCUGCACCCACCAAUACAGCCACAGACUCAAUGCCAUAAAACCAAAGCCAAUAGACACUCAAACCCACACACCAGAAGCAUAGCUACGGGACCAAUAACGCGUGCCAUCACCAAAAUCCACCAAUAAACCCAUCCGCGAACCUUCCGUUAAUCGGCGAAGCCUUUCGCGCAGGAAACAAGCAAUUCACCACCGUGAAUAUCAGAUUGUAACACCACCACACGAAUUCCUUACCUCUGCGAAUCCCUAAACCGUAACACGGCCACUCGCGGGCAUUGCAAGUCGCCCUCUGUCAUCGUGAGACACCAUCGCCGCUUUCCGUCCACCGCCAUGAAACCCGAAGCGGCAAUCUGUUCACUCUCUGCACUCACCCACGAGCCACGAGUCCCAAAUCCCUCUUUCUCUCGCUGCUUGUUGUUGUUCUGGUGCACGUUUGUUUGUGUUCAAUUUUUAAUCUUCAAUUUGAGGUAAUUAAGGGGCUUUGCUGAAUGUUUAUUGGGCCCGACAAUUUCAAAGGAAUAAGCUUGGGUCUAGUAAGAUGAGGUUGCACUUACUUG
This 890-nucleotide long non-coding RNA is filed under the name Glycine max (soybean). RNAcentral describes it as "long non-coding RNA (GMAX_LNC000884)". Lineage: Eukaryota; Viridiplantae; Streptophyta; Magnoliopsida; Fabales; Fabaceae. The record is from RNAcentral.